CCCUUAGAUGUUCUGGGCCGCACGCGCGCUACACUGAAGGGAUCAGCGUGUUUUCCCUUUCCGAGAGGAACGGGUAACCCGCUGAACCCCCUUCGUGGUAGGGAUCGGAGCUUGCAAUUGUUCUCCGUGAACCAGGAAUUCCCAGUAAGCGCAAGUCAUAAGCUUGCGUUGAUUACGUCCCUGCCCUUUGUACACACCGCCCGUCGCUACUACCGAUUGAACGUUUUAGUGAGGUAUUUGGACUGGGCCUUGGGAGGUUUCGGCCUCCCUUGUUGCUCGGAAAGACUCCCAAACUUGAGCGUUUAGAGGAAGUAAAAGGCGUAACA
RNAcentral lists this ribosomal RNA (326 nucleotides) under uncultured eukaryote. Its description in RNAcentral is "partial 18S ribosomal RNA". It matches the Rfam family "Eukaryotic small subunit ribosomal RNA", at positions 1470 to 1796 of the family's 1831-position model. The record is from RNAcentral.